CGAUAAUUUGAUCAUUUCAGCUGUGACUGCGCAACCAACUUAGGAUUCAAAACUCAUUACCAGAUGUCACUAGGGUCGCCAUUGUUGUUUUUACAAUGUUAAAUGAGGCGAAAAGGGCGAAACAAAUUGUAGCUGAUUAAUACUUUCUGUGAUUAUAUUCCUGUGAUUUCUUAUACCAAAUUGAACUUCGUAACUUGUUUAGAUGCAUACUGUCAGUCAUUCGAAAUUGUUGACUUAGCGCUCAGUCACUUUCCAUCCAAUAGACCAAUCAUGCUGUCAAAAGCCUAAAACUAAUGUUUGAAGCUCACACAUAGUAGAAUACAAAUCUGCCGAGUUAAGGAUCUUUUCUGAAUCUUGCAAUUUUGGUGGCACACCCUGCAAUAGCAUGUUUGUUGUUAUGGAUGUUAAAUUUACUUCGGUUUAGAAGGCAACCCAGCUAAGAGAUAGUUCAGAGACAUGAAGCGUGUGAAGUGAAUAACCUGCCAUAUUUAUGUACAUGUACCAGAUUUGCUUGAUGAAAGUCAAAUGCUUUAUUAAGUUUAUCACCCAUAUGAUAAGCAUCAGGAAAUUUUUCUCAACAUGUGGAGUAAUGCUGUUGGUUGCUGUGAAUUCCAUUUUUACGGUUUUUUCAUCAUGAGCAUUUCCGUGUGCUUCUUAGAAAAG
This is a long non-coding RNA of Daphnia pulex (common water flea), 663 nucleotides long. RefSeq lists it as uncharacterized. The transcript has 5 exons. Lineage: Eukaryota; Metazoa; Arthropoda; Branchiopoda; Diplostraca; Daphniidae. The record is from RefSeq and is a predicted model, not a curated record.